GAGUUCUCGGGAACAGCGGCUCGGCCUGCAAGGCUGUUGUUUCAAGAAAUGAAAAUGAAGGGCGCCCUGGAAUAGGUUCGCCUAAGAGAGAGCAAUAUGGCCUGUCGCGGUGGCUCAUGCCUGUAUUCUCAGGACUUUGGGAGGCCAAAGCAGGAAGAUCGCUUGAGCCCAGGAGUUUGAGACCAUCCUGGACAACGCCUCUGGGAAGCAAGCCAUCGUGUGGCAGAGGCCCAGGUGGCAAGGAACCAAGGGCGGCUUCUGGCCAACAGCCAGCGAGGACCUGAGGCCGUAGCCCAACACCCCUCCAGGAACUGAAUUUUGCCAACAACCAGCGAGUGACCUUGGAAGUGGAUCCUUCCCCCGAAAGCCCGGCUUUCAGGAUUGGAGGCUGUUGUCAUUGGAGAAGUUCAUGAGAAUGUUACUCUGCACUGUGGCAACAUCUCGGGACUGAGGGGCCAGGUGACCUGGUACCGGAACAACUCGGAGCCUGUCUUCCUUGUCUCGUCCAACUCUAGCCUCCGGCCAGCUGAGCCUCGCUUCUCUCUAGUGGAUGCCACCUCCCUGCACAUUGA
RNAcentral lists this small RNA (572 nucleotides) under Pan troglodytes (chimpanzee). RNAcentral describes it as "processed transcript". Lineage: Eukaryota; Metazoa; Chordata; Mammalia; Primates; Hominidae. The record is from RNAcentral.